CGUGGACGAGGAGAAGGAACACCACGCCUAUGCUGAUGACAUAUUCCUGCAGCCGCAGCUGUCAUCCCAGUCCUCGAUCAUCGCUGCUCGAGGACCCAGUGCAAUGUGGACGCCUCGCACACGAAACCUCUGCGGAGAAGAAACUCCUGGAACGAGUCCGACAUCCCUGUUCCAACAAGCGUCCUCCUUGCUGCUGUGUCAAGCCAUCGACACCGUGCCUUGGACAUCGGCGACUGCCGUGAAGCAGACCGCCGAAACAAGGAAGAGUCUACAAUGAAUUUUAAUUUCACUGGCAGCGCUGGCACGUGCUACAAGACUUUGAACACAGUGCCCCAGCAAGUCAGAACAAUGGUGCAACGAACGAUAAUUUAGAAAUAUCUUAAUUUUUCUGCCAUUCGCUUGAGAUAGAAUAAAACCGACGUUUUGCAAAAUGUUUGCUCUUUUAAUUACUCUUUUAUGCACCAAAUUAAUAAUUCUGUAAUGAAAACUAUGUCGUACAAUUAAUUGGUAUAUUUAAUAAAACCAGAUUUAGGCGUC
RNAcentral lists this long non-coding RNA (537 nucleotides) under Dermacentor andersoni. RNAcentral's name for it is "uncharacterized LOC126546309". The record is from RNAcentral. Lineage: Eukaryota; Metazoa; Arthropoda; Arachnida; Ixodida; Ixodidae.